GGUUAAGCGACUAAGCGUACACGGUGGAUGCCCUGGCAGUCAGAGGCGAUGAAGGACGUGCUAAUCUGCGAAAAGCGUCGGUAAGGUGAUAUGAACCGUUAUAGCCGGCGAUGUCCGAAUGGGGAAACCCAGUGCAAUUCGUUGCACUAUCGUUAACUGAAUACAUAGGUUAACGAGGCGAACCGGGGGAACUGAAACAUCUAAGUACCCCGAGGAAAAGAAAUCAACCGAGAUUCCCCCAGUAGCGGCGAGCGAACGGGGAGCAGCCCGGAGUCUGAAUCAGCUUGUGUGUUAGUGGAAGCGUCUGGAAAGUCGCAGGGUACAGGGUGAUACUCCCGUACACUAAAACACACAGGCUGUGAACUCGAAGAGUAGGGCGGGACACGUGGUAUCCUGUCUGAAUAUGGGGGGACCAUCCUCCAAGGCUAAAUACUCCUGACUGACCGAUAGUGAACCAGUACCGUGAGGGAAAGGCGAAAAGAACCCCGGCGAGGGGAGUGAAAAAGAACCUGAAACCGUGUACGUACAAGCAGUAGGAGCCCACUUGUUGGGUGACUGCGUACCUUUUGUAUAAUGGGUCAGCGACUUAUAUUCUGUAGCAAGGUUAACCGUAUAGGGGAGCCGCAGGGAAACCGAGUCUUAACUGGGCGUUAAGUUGCAGGGUAUAGACCCGAAACCCGGUGAUCUAGCCAUGGGCAGGUUGAAGGUUGGGUAACACUAACUGGAGGACCGAACCGACUAAUGUUGAAAAAUUAGCGGAUGACUUGUGGCUGGGGGUGAAAGGCCAAUCAAACCGGGAGAUAGCUGGUUCUCCCCGAAAGCUAUUUAGGUAGCGCCUCGUGAA
RNAcentral lists this ribosomal RNA (844 nucleotides) under Klebsiella oxytoca. RNAcentral describes it as "partial 23S ribosomal RNA". It matches the Rfam family "Bacterial large subunit ribosomal RNA", at positions 1 to 888 of the family's 2925-position model. The record is from RNAcentral. Lineage: Bacteria; Pseudomonadati; Pseudomonadota; Gammaproteobacteria; Enterobacterales; Enterobacteriaceae.